This 253-nucleotide ribosomal RNA is filed under the name uncultured bacterium. RNAcentral's name for it is "partial 16S ribosomal RNA". It matches the Rfam family "Bacterial small subunit ribosomal RNA", at positions 524 to 776 of the family's 1533-position model. The record is from RNAcentral.
UACAGAGGUGGCAAGCGUUGUUCGGAAUUACUGGGCGUAAAGGGCGCGUAGGCGGCCUACUAAGUCAGACGUGAAAUCCCUCGGCUUAACCGGGGAACUGCGUCCGAUACUGGAUGGCUUGAGUUUGGGAGAGGGAUGCGGAAUUCCAGGUGUAGCGGUGAAAUGCGUAGAUAUCUGGAGGAACACCGGUGGCGAAGGCGGCAUCCUGGACCAACACUGACGCUGAUGAGCGAAAGCCAGGGGAGCAAACGGG